RNAcentral lists this transfer RNA (85 nucleotides) under Candidatus Bathyarchaeota archaeon. RNAcentral's name for it is "tRNA-Leu". It matches the Rfam family "tRNA". From Rfam's summary of the family: Transfer RNA (tRNA) molecules are approximately 80 nucleotides in length. Their secondary structure includes four short double-helical elements and three loops (D, anti-codon, and T loops). The record is from RNAcentral. Lineage: Archaea; Thermoproteati; Candidatus Bathyarchaeota.
GCGGACGUGGCGGAAUUGGUAUACGCGCAGGCCUGAGGAGCCUGGCUCAUUUUUGAGCGUGUGGGUUCAACUCCCACCGUCCGCA